CUGCGGCUACUGCAUAGACGAGCGGUGGCUGCUGCCGCUGCACAGAUCUGGCCCUCCCUCGCGCAAACUCCGUUCCGCGUGGCUCCCUCGCCUCCCAACGUUCCGUGCGGCUCCCCCGCCUCUGGCCAAAUCCAACAACGACAUCGACAUAGUGGUCUCCCACUCUCCCAUUCGAUUCAGUGGCUAUCUUCUCACCGGUUUGAAGAUUAUGCGUCAUCGAACACCUGUUCUGUUAGACUAGCUUGUGCCGGCGCUGUCCGGUGUUAG
This 267-nucleotide unclassified non-coding RNA is filed under the name Zea mays. RNAcentral describes it as "misc RNA Zm00001eb288140". Lineage: Eukaryota; Viridiplantae; Streptophyta; Magnoliopsida; Poales; Poaceae. The record is from RNAcentral.